Molecule: ribosomal RNA, 492 nt
Filed under: uncultured bacterium
Lineage: Bacteria
Description: partial 16S ribosomal RNA
Rfam family: Bacterial small subunit ribosomal RNA
Source: RNAcentral
AGUGAACGCUGGCGGUAGGCCUAACACAUGCAAGUCGAACGGCAGCACAGUAAGAGCUUGCUCUUACGGGUGGCGAGUGGCGGACGGGUGAGGAAUACAUCGGAAUCUACUUUUUCGUGGGGGAUAACGUAGGGAAACUUACGCUAAUACCGCAUACGACCUACGGGUGAAAGCAGGGGAUCUUCGGACCUUGCGCGAUUGAAUGAGCCGAUGUCGGAUUAGCUAGUUGGCGGGGUAAAGGCCCACCAAGGCGACGAUCCGUAGUUGGUCUGAGAGGAUGAUCAGCCACACUGGAACUGAGACACGGUCCAGACUCCUACGGGAGGCAGCAGUGGGGAAUAUUGGACAAAGGGCGCAAGCCUGAUCCAGCCAUACCGCGUGGGUGAAGAAGGCCUUCGGGCUGUAAAGCCCUUUUGUUGGGAAAGAAAAGCAGCAGGUUAAUACCCCGCUGUUCUGACGGUACCCAAAGAAUAAGCACCGGCUAACUUCGUG